This 325-nucleotide unclassified non-coding RNA is filed under the name uncultured Cantharellales. RNAcentral's name for it is "sequence contains 5.8S rRNA gene, ITS2, 28S rRNA gene". The record is from RNAcentral. Lineage: Eukaryota; Fungi; Basidiomycota; Agaricomycetes; Cantharellales.
AACGCACCUUGCGCUCCUUGGUAUUCCUUGGAGCAUGCCUGUUUGAGUAUCAUGAAAUUCUCAAAGUCAAUCUUUUGUUAAUUCAAUUGAUUUGUGCUUUGGACUUGGAGGUCUUUGCGGAUUAAUAAUCUGCUCCUCUUAAAUUCAUUAGCUGGAUCUCAGUAUAUGCUUGGUUCCACUCGGCGUGAUAAGUUAUCACUCGCUGAGGACACUGUAAAAAGGUGGCCAGGAAAUACAGAUGAACCGCUUCUAAUAGUCUAUUAAAUUAGACAAUUCAAUUUUAAGAUCUGAUCUCAAAUCAGGUAGGACUACCCGCUGAACUUAA